Non-coding RNA from Bemisia tabaci, 1127 nucleotides. NCBI's taxonomy places the organism in Eukaryota, Metazoa, Arthropoda, Insecta, Hemiptera, Aleyrodidae. The record is from RefSeq and is a predicted model, not a curated record.
GGGGUGGAGGGGAAUCAAUAUGAAAAGUUACAUAGUAAAAUAACUAUGGCAGAUGUUUGAGAUGUUAAUAAACAGUGGAGUGCCGAGAGUGUUCUAGGCCGUUGAGUUGCAGAACAUUCUGCUCGUAUCGGGUAUUUUUCGUGUAUUCUCUCAAGAUGAGCCAUGUUUGCCAUAAUGUAGUAGGGCUUUUGGAAUUCAGCCUAGUGGCUCUCCUGUUGAUCAAUACAUCCAAUGCAGCUUGUGUCCCGCUCUUCGGCGCUUGUGUUCAGUCUCUGGAGUGUUGCAACCAUCCCGAUAUUAUCUGUCGUGCCAAUGUUUGUUUUAAGCCGAUUGCAGCGGUUCGCGGCGUGGAGAAUCGAAUCACCGAAUACCUAGAAUAUCAAGUUCGGCUUAGUAAUUUAAGAGAAUCUAUGAAAGCGAAUACUUCAAGAUUUAAAUAAAUCCUAGGAUUGAACGCGUGUGAUCAGUCUAGGGAGUGUUGCAACCACCCACCAAUAGUCUGUCGAGCCAAUUUGUGUGUACAGCCGAGAGAAGUUAAUGUUAAACUGGAGAAUAUAGCCGCCGACGCCAUGGAAAAAUUAGUUAAUAAUAAUAAUUUACGAGAAUCGAUAAAAAGGGACUACGAAGAAUACGAUCUUAAAGGAGCUAAGAAUAGAAAAAAUGCCUGUUCCACUUUCAAUGUUGUGAAAACCCUGAGGUUAAAUGUAGAGCAGGCUCUUGUUAUUACGCAAUGAAUGUUUAUAAUACUAUGCAAGCUAAUGAGAUCAUGGAAAGAAUUAUCCAGCGGAAAAAAAGCAAACUAAAAUCUGUCCUUGGCCAAUCAAAAGCUGUUUCUUCCCUCUCAGACUAAAAUCCACACAAACACAAAUACUGAGGACUGCCGGUUGAGUGCAAGCUGCUGCAUGUUCCCAUUCUGGAAAUGCGUGGACGGUGCUUGCAACAGAGACAAUAGUGAACAUUACUCCAGCCAUGAGUUUGAAUGGAUGGAAAGUUGGAGGGAUCUCCUGGACCGAAAAUCGCUCCGCAAAUGGUUCGCGGACAAAAAUAAAAAUCAAACCAAUGUGCCAUACAGUUGAUCAGUCAUUUCAUACUGAUACGUUUAAUUACAGUGCCUAUACUGCCAUUUA